Long non-coding RNA from Prinia subflava (tawny-flanked prinia), 1693 nucleotides. RefSeq lists it as uncharacterized. Lineage: Eukaryota; Metazoa; Chordata; Aves; Passeriformes; Cisticolidae. The transcript has 3 exons. The record is from RefSeq and is a predicted model, not a curated record.
CGGGGGUGGGAACAGCUUCUCGCGAGAGAAGGCGCGAGGCGGCGCGCGGGGCGGCCGUGAGGGGAGGAGGGGGCGAGGCCUGCCCGUUCCCUUUCCCUGCCCCUUCCCUUUCCCUGCCCCUUCCCGCCUGCCGCAGCCCGGCCGCGGGGCAGCGCCGCUGAGCCGUCUUACGGAGGCCGUGUACGCUUCCCUGUGGGGCGGUGCCGUGUGGGCACCUGCGGGUCCCUCUACCAGAGCAGAGCUUUGUAUUCCUGGGGGACAACACUGGCGCCCCCCACACACACACAGCCGGGAGUGGCGAGUUUUGGGGCAUCGGUGCCGCAGCGAGUGACCCGGUUUGUGAGGCGAGGCCUCGCACGGAGAUGGACGGGCUGAGUGGUUGUUGAAGAAAUCCAUUCCUCGCAUUUCACCCCGUUUCAUCAGCAUCCCCACGCCAGCCCUGGCUGUGCGUGAGUUCACGCAGGGAUAACAUAACCAGGGGGAGAAAAGCUUUCUGAAAACACCACAGCUGCUGAUAAUGGAAGCUACUCUGGAGUGUUAAGAGAAGAAAGUCACAAAAGAUGGGGUCCACCUGGUUUCCUUGUGAUUCAGACUGAAGAAAGACUGAAGACUAUCCCCUCAAAAAAGCAGUGCAAAUUUAAGGCCCGGAGCAGUGCCUGGUUUGUCUGCAGUUCCACAGCCAGCAGAGGUAAGCAGCCAAGAGCAACCACCCCACAGCUGAGGGGAGCAAAAGACAUUGCAGCCAAGCCUGGCAAGUGCAGCUGCUGCUGGAGUAGCCGGGUGAUCGGUGUCUUCCAGGGAAAAACGCGGCUCCAGCUCACCUCUGCGCAGUGCUGCUGAUGGGAGGGCUUUGUGCUGGCAGAAAUACACUGUGUUUCAAAGUGUGUCAGAGCUGGAGUCCCACAUGCAGCCCCAAAUGGAGCUCUGGACAGUAUUUUGUUACAGUUCUUUACUGUUACCCGUGGAAUAGGGGUUAUAAUGUAUCUAGCAGUGCUGAGUGUUUACCAGCGUGAAUGGAAGGGGAAAGAGGUGCCGUUUAAUUCCAGCCCAUGAAGUUCCAGCAGCAGUAAGUCGUGCACUAAGACUACCCCAAAAGCACAUCAACACACUGUCUGUUCUAGGCUGCACUUAGAUCCCUCUGUGCACCCAGCUUUGAAAGCCUCCUCAGGAACAGAGCAGAUCUGGGUACUCCUGCUCCUUCUCAAGGCAAGGGAAGGUGGCCAGAAAUACACAAACUUCAUUGCUUCAGCCUUACCCAAGUCCAUGCCUUGCUAUUUAAGAACGGUGUGUUAAGGAUAAAGGGAAUAGAAUUUGUCAAAGCACAUGUCCUGAGUUAAGGGAAAGCCCAAGAUCUGGGUGAGAUUGUGUGAUAAUCAGUAAAGAAACUUCAUUUAAGAUCAGCAUCAGCUCCACUUCUGCCUGAUUAACGGCUGGGGGAGUUCUAUUUUCCAUUGGCAAAAUUCAGUGAGUAAUAAGCAAGAAUAACCGUUAAUUCUUAUCUGCUUCAUCUGGGAACUGGCUGAUUCUGUUCCAGCUAACGCCAAGCUCCUUCCAGCUGCUGGGAACAGGCUGCUCGUGGCAGGGUGGUUUGUGUGCCUCAAGCUUUCAGUGUUUCAGGACCUUCAGAGGGAAGUUAACCCAUGCAGUCUCAGGAGCCAAAUGUGCAAGGGAGCUAGGUAAAAGUCCUUAGCAA